UGCGUAGGUGGUUGCAUAAGUUAGGUGUGAAAGUCCUGGGCUUAACCCUGGGGAUUGCGCCUAAGACUGUGUAGCUAGAGUAAUGUAGAGGAAGGUGGAAUUUCCAGUGUAGCGGUGAAAUGCGUAGAUAUUGGAAGGAACAUCGGUGGCGAAGGCGACCUUCUGGACAGAUACUGACACUGAGGCACGAGAGCAGUGGGGAGCAAACA
Molecule: ribosomal RNA, 209 nt
Filed under: uncultured bacterium
Lineage: Bacteria
Description: partial 16S ribosomal RNA
Rfam family: Bacterial small subunit ribosomal RNA
Source: RNAcentral